Molecule: long non-coding RNA, 12193 nt
Filed under: Populus trichocarpa (black cottonwood)
Lineage: Eukaryota; Viridiplantae; Streptophyta; Magnoliopsida; Malpighiales; Salicaceae
Description: long non-coding RNA (PTRI_LNC000571)
Source: RNAcentral
ACCUUUUCCUUGUGUCCUAUAAAUGAUGAGUCCGCUCACGAUAUACGAUAUAUAAAAUCAACAGCAGGCGUAUUGCGUGGCAUGGGCCUGCACAUAUAUUUAUGUGUUCAUUUAUUCUCAGAAGGCGCAGCAGAGGUAGAGAGAGAGAGAGAGAGAGAGAGACGGAGAGACAGGGAUCUUCCAGUUCAGAUCGAUCCUUAUCUCUGAUGUCUGACCCAUUAAUGGUAACGGGUGGCCUAAGCCUAGGUCAUCAUCUAUGGCGCCAGAAGGAGAGUUUGAUCAGUAUAUAUAUGCCUCCUUAAUUAAGACCCAAAAUUAUGAAUACCGCUGAAGUGCAGCUAAUUAUUGGCACUUCAGUCUAAAUAUGAUGGAAGUUGUGCUCACUUCUCUAAAUCUGUCAAUUUGGUUGAGCCCGCCUGAAAUUGUCUUGCAUGGCUGGCUGGCUGGCUUGCUUUUGAACAUCAAUCAGGUGAGAUCUCAAGUGUUUGCCUGCCUGAUGAGUAAAUGGUCUGGUGUGUUUCUGCAAAGGGGGCUUGCCUUCUUUCUUCUUUCAAGAAUCAACACAGGGCAGUACUGUGUCUUUAAACUAAUUUCUUUAGACUUCCAGUAGCUAGUUCCAGUAGCUGUGAAUUGUGGUAGAAUUAAUGAUCUUUUGUAGAUUGUAUAUGAUGAAUGCAAAAUCUUCUCACCCAUGUAACCGUACAAAUUUCUGUCAUCUCAUGUUUGACAAUCCGAGUGAAAAAAAAACCACCCCUUUCUCUUGUUAAUUUCUUCUUUCUUUCUUGUUAAUCUCUGUAUAUCUAUCUGUUAAUAAAUAGUUAACAGCGAUCACAGGUCUUUUUCCUAUCGCUUUUUCCCCUUUCCUUUCUUUCACUCUGAUUCUCGUUCAACUUAUGAGGAUAAAGAAAAAUCAUUGAAUGAGAUUAAAUAUAUGAUUUAUUUUGCUGAAAGAAAACCUUAUGGUGUUGAAGGAUACAGAGUUAAUUUUUAGAAUCAGCUAUAACAUGGAUGCCUGGCCUUUGGGUUAGGGGCAGAGCUGAAAUUACCUUAAUAAACAAAGAAACAUAUUGAAUUAUGCUCAAAAGAAGUGGACGAGGCAGGCGAGGACCACUUUCGUUUUACCGUUCAAGAGUUUUCUUUGUUGGCUUUCUAUAUUGGAUAAAAUAGGAUUUCGGUGACAAGGAAAUGAUGGCAACCAAGAGAGAAGCGAACAAGAAUGAAGACGAUCCCCAGUACAGGAAUAGAAUCAUCAGCCAAUCUCUCGAAGUACUACCGUAGUAGAAGUAGAUGGAGACCACCCACGGCAGAUCAGGGCAUGUGUGUUUAGGAAUGAAAGGAACUUGCACUUCAAUUUUGAGCCAAUGGUCAAUCGCCCCAGUCCUCUAGUGUUUUGUCUGGAAAUUUGAGCUACUCCAGACCGGAUAGUCCGCGGGCCGGGUUGAUUUUUUUUGCAGUGUAAAAAAAUGAUACUCAAGCAUUGUAAGUGUAUUUUAAAAAUAAUAAUAAUAAUAAUGACUCAAUAUCAUUAAAAAAAAAACGAUUGUAAGUUCACAAGAAUGAAAACGAAAAUAUAGAAGAAAAAAUUGAAAAAAAAUAAUAAAAACCAAAUCUUGAAAAAUAAAGCACCAACAAAUUUUGGUGAGAGUGUCAAAAUUUACGAGUGAAAUCAUGCGAAUGAGAUAAUCUAAUUAAAAGUAAAACAAGUAAAAAGACAAUUUAAUUAUAAAAUAAAUCAAAUUUUAAAGGACAAUAAAAAAGGAUAAAAAAAAUGACUUAAAAAACCUUAUAACCACUAUGACAAACCUCCUAUCUGGAUAAUGAGAUAGUAAUAAGUUGAUUCAAAAUGAAAUUGAAUGAAAUAAUGAACUUUAUUUUUCAAAACGAACAACUUCAAAUAACAUAAUCGGGAAAGAAAACGAUGUCAAUUCAUGUUAACUUCUCAAACUUAUGGCCUUAGCUAGUGACAAAACUGGAAGAACCGCAUGUGAAAAGCCACUAUUUUAAAACUCUUAAACUCAACUCGACCCGAUAGGUUGACUUGUGAUCUAAGUGACAUGUGGUUUAGACCGAAGAGGAUUUCAAAAGAAAUUGGGAGAGGGUCAACCCUGGAAAAAUCCAAUUAACGGGGUUAAAACCCAUUGCUUAUUUUGGUUUUUUUUCUUUCAAAAUGGUAUCUUUUUUAGUUUUUUUUAUAAAGCAAAAAGAUUUGGUUGACUUGGGUUCACUCAGGUCAACCCACUCAACCUAUAACCCAAUACCUAUAACCCAAUACUUGUUUUGAAUUGACUCCAAGGUAAGCCCUAAAACAAUGAGAAAAACCAAGUAGAUCAAAUAAAAAAAAUAAAAUGUCGAAUAAUAAAAUAAAUAAAGAAAUAACAAUGAAGAGAAUGAAAACUUUAUUCGAGAAAAAAAAAUGAAAGGAGUACCUACAAUUUUGAAUUGAAGGGAAACUUAGAAGGAAAGGAGAGAGAGAUCAAAAUUAACAAAUUAAUCCAAAACAAAAAAAAUUAAGAGAAUAAGGAUCGAAUUAAAAAAAUUAAAAAAUUAAGACUAUAGAUUUAAUAAUGAAAUUAAAAACAAACUAGAAUUUGAUAAAGAAUUAGGAAUCAAAAUUAAAAAUUAAAAUAUUUAGGAUCAAAUCUUAAAUAUCAUUAAGUCUUGAGUUGAAAGGUAAAAUUGAAAAGAAAAAUUAAAUUAACAAAAUAACUUAGAAUAAAAAUAAAAAUUUAGAGAAUGAAAAAAUUAAUUUUUUUAAUGUUUUUGAAUUUGUUAAAAGGUGGUAUCAAAAAUAAAUUUUUAAAAAUAAAAAUAUUAUUUUUAUAUAUUAAUAUUUUUAUUUAAAAAAAAAAAGAAAAAAAACAUUCUUUUCCGUGGCACGGGAAAAAUGGAACCCCCAGCACACACAAGUUGCUUGUCUGGGCGGAAACAACCACCUGAUCUCUUCCACUUGACAGAAGAUUUCAGGAGAUUCACCAGUCAAAGGGUUACAUUUGUGGCUCCAAUCGUGACAGCGAAAAAGAACUGGACAAGGAAAGGCUGAAGGCAAAUGCUAGCUGGCAGGCCGCCCACAGGAGUAGAGAUCUUAUCAUCUUACGGGUCAGUCGAGAGUGCAUGCACCGAUGAAAUUAGCUCAUUACCGUUGGAUACAGCGACCCCCGAUCUUAUGGGAAAUGGAUUAGAGUUUUUUUUUUUUUUUUUGUGGAAAAUAGCAGUCUCUGAAAUUCCUGGAAAAAAGGUAGAAAGUUCAUUGAGAUUGCCUCAUUAACAGAGUCUUUAAAAUUUAAUCUUAUUUUCAGUAAAUAGACAACGUAGUUACUUGUAAAUCUUAAUCUAAACUCCUAAUAGCUCAUGCGUGGAUUAUUUUUUAAGACUAUUUUUCUAUUAUCACAAAAAAAAAAUUGUAAAUUUUUGACAUUAUCUCAACACAAUAAUCUGUUAAACUCCUAAUAACUCAGAAAAGUUUGAAUUUUAAAAGUUACGGUAAUGUCGUGUACUAUUUUUUUUUUAAUGAGUUUCCUUUCUUAAAAUACAAGCACAAGAUUCAAGUACCAGUCUGGAGCAGUCUUGUCUUCGGCUUCAGCUUCAGGGUAACUAGCCAUGGAAGCAAGACUGGGGCCCGCUCGCUUCUUUUGUUGUCCUUUAACGGUACCGAACCAUCCUCAACAUCGCGAUAUUUAUUUUUGAGUUUUAAAAAUAGUUUUAAAAAAAUUAUCUUUUUUAUUUUUAAUUAAUAUUUUGAUAUUUUCAGAAUAUUUUAAUAUAUUAAUAUCAAAAAUAAUUUUUUAAAAAUAAAAAAUAUUAUUUUAAUAUAUUUUCAAAUCAAGAAAUAUCACAACACUUCUAAACAUCAUUGUUGCAAAAACCGAGGGAAGGGUGCCUGACAACAGCUCCUAUGAAUUUUUCCGUUUUCAAGAAGCAAAGCCGCAAAGCAUCGAGUUAAUAAACAGCAGACUAGCAAAGCAUGAUGUAGUUAACUUGGUCACAAAAGAGCCACGACAACCAAUGCAAAAGUCAAGAGAAAAGCUCACUCACCAGUCACCAGGGCUCCAAGCCUCCAACAAAGGAAAAGAUGGUCAGUUAAUCUUGAUUUGUCCCUUUUUAUGAAGCACCAGAUGGUUCCAGCUAUGGGCCCUGUCUAUAAAAAAAAAUAACAUAAAUUUUAUACGUGUCACAAUCAAUUAGAGGAAGUGAGUUUUAUCCUGCCUAAAUCUUCUUCUUCUUCUUCUUUUCAUGUAAUUAAAAAUAAAAUCCAUCGGUCAACAAAAAUAAUAAUAGAAAUUCAGUAACAAUACAGCAUAAAUUUUUUUUAUAAAACAACUAGAUUAUAGUCCACUCAAACUCUUCUACUAAUUCAAAUAAUAGGACCACAAAAUUCUUCCCUAAAUCAACUAAAAUAUAUACAUCAAAUUACUAAAUCCAUCAUCACAAGGAUGGAUUCCAUCAAUAACAACAAAGAAAAAAAUAGGUCAAAUCUCAUCAAUUAGGUCUUUUUAAAAUACCUAAAAGUAAAAAUUUCUUAAUGAUCAACACCAUCUAAGUUUAAGAGAUUGUUGCUGGGAAUUUCAAAAUCUCAUCUUAAUUACCAUCCGAUUAAAGUACGAAGAUGAAAACACAUUUUUUCUUCACUCUUUCUUAUUUUUCUACCAAAAGGCCCCCCCCUUUCGUUUUGUAUUUGUUGGCUCACAAUGAAAAUAGGUUAAAGUUAACUUUUCAUACCUAAUCACUUAUAUCUCCUAAAAAGUUUUAAGCCUUUAUCUUUUAUUUUCAUAGUUUAUACGAGAUUAUGGCCUAAAAAUGAGGGACCAAACUCAAUAUAGUUUAUGUUUUGGAAAUGAUAAACUUGUGCAAUACAUAAAAGCAAAUAUGGUUAAUCAUGUUUAUUCUAGAAAGUCCAUAUUGGGAUACUUAAUGACCUUUACUCGAUGAGCAGUUUUAUGACAAUCAAGAUUGCAAAAAUGUGUUACAUCAUUCACUGCAGAGGUUAAAUACAUUGCUUUUAAUAAAGAAAAAAUGAGUUCUUAUGUAUGACAAAGUUCUUAUAUGAUCUUAUUCAUGUGCAAUAGAAUUUUGAGCCGCACUAUGAUAGUUUUACUGCAAUCCAUCUUAGUAAGCAUCCUACUUCUCAAUCUUUAUCAAAACACAUUUAGGCUAUAUAUCAAUGGACUCAAGAUGCUAUGAAGAUGAAGUUUUUUUUUUUCUAGAAUAAUCAUACCAAUGAUAAUAUAUUGGAUAUGAUGAUCAAGCUUUUACCAAGAAAUUUUUUUUACUUUUGUAGAAGUUAGGCGAGUUUGCUAGAGUUCUCCACGUGAAUUGGAAGAGAGAAUUAUUUGGUUGGAUCCAAACUCUUUGGGGCCAUAACCUAAAUAAACUAAAAAAAAUAAGGACAAAGGCUUAAAACCUUUUACAUUAUAAUGGUGACAAGAUGUAAAACACCAAGUUUAGCUUGUGUUUAUUUGUGUGAGCCAACAUGUACAAAAUAGAAAAAAAUGAGAAGAUAGUAAUUUAAACAGUUUUUAUUUAAACUUUGACAACGCAAUCGAUUCAUCGUUUGAUCAAGCUAGAUUAUUUUAUAGCAAGUCUCGAAUACAUAACUCUUCAUUUUGUUGGUUGGAUAGAAUAUUAAAGGUGUUUAAUUUAGCAUAAUCUUCACGUAAACAUGACAAUCAGUUUUAUGAUAUUCUUUUUAAAUUUUUUUUUUAAUGUUGAUGUAUUCCAAUAAUAUUUUGUUCUGGAUGAUUUAUGUUUGUGGCUUUUAAUUUUGAGUCUCUUAACCAAGGAAGAACUCUGGUAUACCCAAUAUCAUUAUUAAUAGUGGAAAUUUGUAAUAGGACUAUGGUCCCAUAGUUGUUUUCUAUAUAGAGAUGUUUUUCACAUAAAAUUUUUAUAUUGAAUUAUUAUGAUUACUUGUUUAGUUUAUUGAUUAAUUAACCUUAUUUUUAAUUGCAAAAAAAAGAGAAAAUUUAGUACAUGUGAAUUGUGAAUUUGAUUACAUUAAUAUUUUUUUUAACGUAAAAGACCUGGACUCGGGCUAAAAUUGAGUUCGUAGAUAACGCUAUUAAGUAUUUUCUUAGAAACUAGAAAAACCAUCACAAUAUAUGAAGAUGCUAGAGUUUAUCAUUUUAUCCGACAGACAUGAUGAACAGUAAGAGGAGUUCUAGCCUAUCUACUUUUAUUACCAAAUUUACUUUCGGCAACUAAAAUUUUGUUAAACAUUACAGGACUGGAAUUCUAGCCAGUGUCCGAACAAUACGUUUCCGUUUUAGAAAGGAAAAAAAAAACAACCUUUUGCACCCCAAAUUGAUCAAAUAUAUAUUCUUCAACUCUCAAACAUCACCGAUCAACAAAUCAUGAAUAAAAGCCACAACUUUUCCCAUAAACUCUGCGGGGAAAAAACAACCAAUGCACCAAAAUCUAAAAUGUUUAGCAGCCCACACAAGGAAGAAUUUCAGGGAGUUCAAAAACCAAAAGAAAUACACAAGCUAGACUAUCCCAGCUCAGAAAAAUAAAAAAGAAAUAAUAUGCAUAAAAAAACAAAUAAUUAUCUUCAUUUUAUUGUAUUAGUAUUAACCUCUCCUAAGAGUAUGUUUGGCAGUGUGGUUACGGGUGCUUUUCAAAUAACUUUUCGUGUCAAAAUACAUGCUAAUGAUGUUUUUUUAUUUUUUAAAAAUUAUUUUUGACAUCAGUACAUCAAAACAAUUUAAAACGUAUAAACCAUAUUAAAUUUUAGAAAUUUUUUUUUUUUUAGGAACGCAGGUUCAAAUGCGUUCCCAAACGUUACCUAAAUAGAAGUACAGUCUGUUUGGUAUUAUAUAAUGUGUUUUAAAAAAAUAUUAAAAAAAAUAUUUUUAUUUUUAAAAUUUUAUUUUUAAUAACAACAAACUAAAAUAAUCUAAAAACAUAAAAUAAACAGCUACCGGAUUACAUAGCCGGAAGAGAACUUUCAUUUAUAUAAAUAUAUAUAUAUAUAUUAUUUUUGCCCUCCUCGACGGUUCACUUUACUAUCCUUUUCAUUUAUUCAACUGUCAUUAUCUGACGUACCAACAAUGUUAUAUUUCCUUUCGUUUUUAAUUUAUUUAGGGAAAAUUACCCUUCACACUACUUUGCAUGGUCAACACAAAUCUUUAAAUUCAAUAAAAAGAACAAAGUACCUCUACAUAUAUUAUAUCAGAAAUUCUCACUCUCUCUCUUUCCCAUCUCUCUCACCAAACCCUAACCACCAUCUACCACUCCACAACCAAUCAAAUCCUGGUCGUUGCCACUAUCAAGCCCUUAUCUCUCUCCUUCACCAAACAUAGCUGCCCUUCACCUCCUUCUCCACCAAACAGCCUAGCUCCGCCAUAACAUUAUCCCCUUCCAUGACCAUAAGGGCUUCGACUACCAGUUGGUGCAUUUUGCUAGUUUUCCUAUUUUCUAUUUUUUUUCCCUUAUUCGGCAUUUUAAAAACUUUAUCAAGAAAAAUCUGAAUAGAGGAAAAGGUACAGCUGCCUUUAAAAUGAAUUGAAAUUGCUUGCAAUUUCUCAGUUUAGAAAAUAUUUGUGAGAUUAGUUUGGUGGCCAGGGUUUUUUUUUAUUAUUAUUUUAAGACGCGAGGGGAAAUCCCCCGUUUCUGUAUGAAAGCGAAGGCUCAAAUCUCAUCUGGGCUGAUCAAGCUAAGCCUAUGGGCUACCUGGUUACAAUCCGCUGACAGCGGGCUAAUAAUGGCUACGUUCCGGUUUCUGAAUAGCUCGCUAGAAUCCUACUAUCGUCGGCAGAUAAGGCCCGCAGGAAAAUUUAUUAAUAUUUUUAUUUUGUAAGAAAACCAUUGCACUACAGAUUUAUGGAUAAUCCGUGUGUGCUGUGCAGAUAACAGACCCGGGAGCAUGUCAACAGCUUCCCACAAUAGAUAGUUUGGUAUGUAGCCGUGCUGUCAUGUGAUGAUAGAUUUAUGAACUAAUAAAAAAACUUGGUUCAUGGCAGACUAGCCGUCACACUUUUCGGCUCAUUGAUUUGUGAUCAAUGCUUUUUGCGAGCAACUGUGCUGUUGAAUGUGCUCAUAAUUAAUGAAUUAAUAUUGUGUUCUUAUUAGCCAAAGUGGUGUUCAUAUGACAGGGAUGAACAAAAGGAGAUCCCAGUCGUGGAUGUCUGAAUUUCUGGCUAAUCACAGCUCGGAAACAGGAAUACAUAUACCGCAGCAAAAGGAGUCCAUAUAUAGUGCUUGCUGUUAUCUUAUAAAAAGUUGGAUGAGCUAGUGACCACUAUCUAAUCCCAGUUGCAAUCAAUCCAUCAAUGACCAGAAAAGAAAUUAAGAUUAACCUACUAAUUAAUUAAUUCCAGGCAAGCUUUCAAUUCAGUGCUCUACCUCGCUCGAUCUCUCAUCAUCCGCAUUAUAUACAUGUUCGCUAAUGCAGGCACAAAAAUCUUCCCUUAAUCAUCUCGUAUUAGAUAUUUAACAGCAUAAAUCUUAUGAUCUACUCUGUCAAAAGCUCAUAAUUGGUCAUAAUUACAUGAGUUGGCAAAAUACUCUAUCCAAUUGGGUUUCAAGCAACCACGAAAUUAAAUUCUUUAUGUGUAAUCUUCUAGUAGGUGAUCCAGUGGUAAAAACUUGAGAUUAAAGGAUUUGCUUUUCUUGUAAUAUUAAGUCCGAGUUUUGUGGUUGCUAAUAUGAUGAUCAUUGAAGACUUAAAUGGUCGUUAACUUCAGGACUCGUGGAAUUAGUCGAGGUACGCGCAAGUUGACCCGGACAGUCACGUUAAUAAUAAUAAAAAAAGCUUUAUGUCUUAUCAAUGAAAAGAAAAAUACAUGUUAAUGCUAAGUCAAUUAUGUUCAUAAUAGGAAACUAGGCUAAGUGAUUUAUUUAGCCACUUGUAACAUCAUGGUAAUUAACUAAACCGUGUACACGUUCCGCAUAUAGCACAUCUUAUAUACUGAGAAAACCAUGGGAGUUGUUUCAUAAAUUAAUGAUCUCUCCAUUUUUAAUGAGAUUAAAAAAUAAAAAUAAAAAACAAGCGGGAGUCGGGAGAAGAAGAAAACGACAAAGACUACCUAAUUUGAAAAAUGAUGGUUGAUUGGUUGAGAUGAGAGAACGAUAGGUUGUUGCUUUCUAGGUCAAAAUAGAUAACAUUAUAUACUUAAAAAAAAUAAAAACUAUGAGCAAAAGCUCGAGGAAUAUGGAGGGCACAAUUCUAGCGAAAUAAAAUUUUCAACUCUCAGCAAUGUAAUGACUUCCGUGAUACGAUAAAAGAAAAAAAAUAUGGAAAUGAUUUGCAUAUUUUCCUCUGUCCUAUUUUUGAGUGUUAUAUAAAAUAAAACUAAGAGUUAUCAAUCAAAUAAAAUACUAUGGAGCAAGAUUUAUUGUAUUAUAUAUUGCUAUAAUGUAAUGAUUUUUUUUUUCUUAACAGUACAAGUUAGUACAAGUUAAGAAAGCUCAAAUCGAGAAGUAAAAUAAAUUUUAUACGAGUUUUAAUUGGCAUUAUCAAAUUGAAUGUGAGUAAAUUUUUUUUUAUUUUUUUUGUUGCAUAAUAAAAUUACUUAAUUAUUUACCUUUAAAAUUAAAAAAAUAAUUUAGAGAGCAAUGGGGUUUUUUUACUUUUUAUUUUUUUUUGCAUAAUAUAAUUACCUAGCUGUACUUAAAAUUUUAUUUUCUUGAACUUGUGCCUAAUGGUACUUUAAUCAUUUUAUUAUGAUUUUUUUUUAUUGUAAUUGUCAAAUAGACUCAGAAGCAAUUACGUCCAAAAGGUUGCAUGCUCCAACAAGUGGAAGGAGCUCCCGUCUUUUCUGAUAGUCAAACACUGCCUUCCACAAUGAUGCUAGGAGUGAUGCAUCGAGAUCUUAUAAGUGACGGGGCGUGUGUCAGUAGCAGACCAAUGGUGUGGCUUCGAUGAACUUUUUUUCUGCCCCCUUUUUCUCUCUCUUUCUUUUGGUAAAAUACAAAAGUUUUCAUUCAUUUGCGUUUUUUUAUACAAUCUGAUCAUCAUUUUUUUAAUUGUUAAUUUUUUUUAUCUUUUAUAUAUUAAUUUAUUUCUUCAAUUUCGUCUAUCAUCAUUUGAUUUCAUUUAGUUUUUAUAUCGAAUUUGGUCCUUAUUAUUUUAAUUUUUAUUUAUUUAUUUAUUAUACUUUUUUUAUAAUUGGGUUAUUUUUUUUUUCAUUUUCACCUUUUUAUUAUCCUUUUCAUAAUUGAAUUUUGUUUUAAAUUUAAUCUCUCAACAUUUGAUUUUUAGAUUUAUUUUUAUGUCAAAUUUAAUCAUCAUUUCUUUUUAUUGCUAUUUGUUUUGUUUUAUAUCUUUUUUUUAUAGUGUUUUCUUUCCCAAUUUCAUCCCUAAUUAUUUCGUGAUUGAGAGUUUUACUUCAUUAUUUUUUAGGGUUUGUCUUUUAUGGGGUUAGUUUCAGGCUCAAGACCAUAGCACAAAUUUUGAAUAUUAACACAUGUUGACUUCAGUUUUUUUUAUGUUUUUUAUUAAACUUGAUUUUUUUUAAUUUUAUCAUUCAACAUUUGAUUUAUUGAGAAUUGGUCUUGAUGCUUUUUUUUAUUUGCUUUUCUUUUUAUGGGGUUAUCUCAAUUUUAUACCCAUGGUUGUGAGGUCAACGGGUUAACUAGGAUGGACUCGGGUUCAUUUUUUCACUUUUAUUUUUUGCUGAUUUUUUCAGUUAGUUUCUUUAUUAUUAUUACAUUUUUUUAUAUUAUUGAAAUUAUACAAGUUCAUUAAACUCGGUCUAAUUACUAUACAAUUACUGUUUUUAUUUGUUUUUACAUCUUUGAGAACACUUGUGUCAACUUGAUAUUUUUUUUAAUGGUGAAAAGUUUUUGGAUAGGCCGUGGCGAAGCAUGGGCCACUAUCCAGUGGUAAUUGUAUAUAAUAGCAUGCGUGAGAUGGGCAUGUAUUUAUUAUAUAUGGGAGGGUCCAUUUAUUCUCUGUGAACUAGAAAUAGCUGGAGAGAGAGAGAGAGAGAGAGAGAUCCUUCAGAUCGAUCCUCAUCUCUGGCUAACUAUUUGAUGUCCGACUCAAUAAUAGUCACGGGUGGCCCAAACCUAGGUCGUCCAUGGGAGCACAGACAGAGUUUGAUGAGAAUGUAUAUGCCACCGUAAGAAUCCUGUUGCAAAAGCUGAAGUGCAGAGCUAGCUAUUGAGUACUAAUAAUAUUCGCGCUUCAGUUUAAAAGUAUAUGUAUAUAUGAUGGCAAGUUAUGCGUGCUCACUUCCCAGAAUCUGUCAAUCAGUUGAAGUAUCGGGCUCCAUGGCUCUUAAUUUGAAGUCAGUGAAUGUUUAUAGAAUCAAGGAUGUCUUUUUUGUUGUGUUCUGGAUUCUUUGUCUGCGUUGUUGGCUCAGGGCUACCUGGCUCUCAGAUCAAUCAGGUGAGCUGAUUUCACAGUACUAGAUAUUCCCAACUCCUGAUGAACCAUGUGUUUCUGUGUUUGCAAGGAUAUAUAUAUAUAUAUAUAUAUCUUUGUGUGGUAUGUAAUUUCUUUUUUCCCUUUUGUUUUCAUCCAUGUAAGACAUGCAAUGACACAUAUUAUAAAGCCCUAUAGUCAUUGUUGUUAUUAUACAAAGUACUGUCAUCUCAUGUUUGACAAACUAAGGUUAAAUUAAACAUCCUCUUUUCCUUUGUUUCAGUUUCUCCCGGCCUCCGUUUUCUCUUUUCUUUUUUCAUUAGUUUCUUGAUCACUUUUCCCUCCCUCCCUCUCUUCCCUUUUGAGUUUUGGUAUAAUUAAUAAUAAUUCACAUGCAAAAGAUAUAUAACAAUAAUAACAAUAAUGAUGAUCGAUGAUGGUGUUUUUUUCUUUUCCUGAAAGAAAUGAAAGAGUGAAAUCUUCCAUAAAAUGGGAACGUGUAUGUUUAUCUAGCCAAGGGUACUUGAAGGUUAAGUUUUGUGUUACAGUCAAUGCCGUAAUUGCUCCUUUUCCUUUUCUUUUACUUUUUUCUUUACAAGUCGAUGCCGCAAUUGGCUUGAGCUAUGCAUGCACAAUUAAGUCAGGCUAGCUAGGAGACCGAAUCCUCAUGGAUCAUGCAUAUAUUUAUACAGAUCAGAAUUCAAUCAUGAGGAUAUCAUAAUAGAGAGGGAGUGAAAGAGAUUAAAAGCAAGCCCCUAUAACCAAAAUAACAAAAAAACACUGGACCAUCAGCCACAAAAACCGAGCCCUACCCACGCCACUCGCCCAAAAGGGCAUUUUUCGUAUAGGAAUGGAAGGCAUCGCAACUCCUUCAGCUAAUAGGCUGUAUAG